UGUAGGGUUUGCAGAUUUUGAAGAAUUCUUCCAUGAAUUCUGUUGGGAAAACAGCCGUGAGAAUGCAAUUCAAUGAUCUGAGCAGGGAGAUGAUAAUCAAAUCAGCAAGAAAGUAGGAAAUGCAUUGAACCUGAUGAGAAUUGGCCUUGUAUCAAUGACUUUAGCCUCACCAGCCCUCUUAAUGCCCGCAGGGCCCUCCUUGCCUGAGCGAACAAAAUUCUCAUUACAAAACCAAUUUUCAAUACCAUAUUUAAUGUCCCAAAUCCCAAAAGUAGUCAUUACAGAGAACCAAUUGAAUACUGUUUUUGAACACUCUGUAGACCAUUAAAUGACACAUUCAAAGCCAGCAUUGAAGUUAGGUGUAUAUGAUAUGCACGAAUUUGAUGCAAAAACCCAUGCUCUUUCUCAAGAAAAAGUACUGUUAAGUCAUGGCAAGCAGAAAGUUUGACUUGUAUAUUUUUGUUGUUUUUAGAAUAUCCAAUAGUUUUUGUCAUAUUUAUUUCUUUAGUUCCUAGGGCUUAAUCUUUGGUUUCUUUGUGAUUUUAAGACGAAUUUAAUGCAAAAACCCAUGCUCUUUCUCAAGAAAAAGUACUAAGUCAUGGCAAGCAGGAAGUUUGAUUUGUAUAUUUUUGUUGUUUUUAGAAUAUCGAAUAGUUUUGGUCAUAUUUAUUUCUUUAGUUCCUAGGGCUUAAUCUUUGGUUUCUUUGUGAUUUUAAGACUUUCAUUGGAGCUCCUAUAACUUGCUUUAAUCUCUGUUAGAUGUUAACCUUUUCUUCUUUAUUUAUUUUUUUUUUAUUAUUAUUUUUUUUAAUGUGGCAAAGAAAGAUGAUGAGCUAGUUAGCUAGCCAACUAACCUAAUGCUGUAAGUCAAUCUAACAUCUGCUCACUGCCUCUCUAAAGAAAUGCUGUGGGAGUUGUAAACAGAUCUCAAGAAUAACCAUGAAAUUUCAGACGACCUUACUUGAACCGGAACUGGUUGUCCUUGAAUUCUAAAGAAUAAUCAUAAAACUUUAACUAAAUUGAAGUGAACUCAAACUCUAGGGGCCUAGAUGAUGGUAAUUUAAACAAAAUCUGUCACUCAAGCUAAUGGCUACUUCAAUUACAAUUCUAUCCAAACCAAAUAACUGUUUUAAAAAGUAGUGAAUAGUUUCAAAACAACUAUAGCUUUCAAUUAUUGUCAGCAAUUCU
Non-coding RNA from Benincasa hispida (wax gourd), 1188 nucleotides. The record is from RefSeq and is a predicted model, not a curated record. NCBI's taxonomy places the organism in Eukaryota, Viridiplantae, Streptophyta, Magnoliopsida, Cucurbitales, Cucurbitaceae.